UAUUGCCUUGAGGGGAGGUGGGAAGGGGAGGCUGUGGCUUUAAAGGAGACAGGAGUUUUGCUCAGGAGCAUGGUGGAAGGGCUGCAUCCAUCCCAAAGUUUGCCUUUGCCCUGACAGUGACUGGCAGCUCAGCAGCACCGAGCCUGCUGUGUUACACUGACAUCCCCAUCACUCUGUGUCUCCACACCUUCUGCCUGGGAGUCUUCUAGCACAUCAGUACACUGGAAGAAUUUAAGCUGAAUUCUUCUUUCCACACCAUGAAAUCUUCAUUACUUCCACAUCAGCUGUAGUUACGCAUUUUGUUCCUUCACCUCUUAGCACAGACUCCUCAAAUCUUACUCUCCAGCUCCAGUCACAUUCACGCUGCCCUCCUUCAGCCAAAGAUUUUUGCUGCCACAGAGAAGUGCAGUCAGACGGCACAGCUGCCCCCUGGCCUCUCCGAUCUCCUGCUACGGGGGAUGCAGAUCUACCUCCUAGCAUCACACCAGGACUGUACCCAGCAGAGUAUCCCAGGUCUGACAGUCACAGACAGCAUUUAUAGGCAGAUGCACAAGAUCUGGACACGCGUGCAGUGAGUCUUUACCCAUGCAUCUCCCAGGCUUCAGCAAUGAACAGCACUGGGACUUUGUGGUCAGGAUGGUGACUUUAUGUUUAUUCCUUCCAUGUAGCCAUAGAGUUCCUUUCUGAGCUCCUGUAAACUUUUGCAGUCAAGUCUGGUGGCAGAAAAGUUUAAUUAGAUACCCAAACAGUGCAGUGCCCUUCCUGCCAGGGCACACUAAAAGCUGCUUUUGAAAUUGUUACUGCUUUCUUUUGCUGUUUUUCACACUUUAUUUUCCUUAUAAUUCCUGUCAAAUUUGGAUGUUGUAUCUCAGUUUCCAGACCUUUUCAUGCUGUACUGUCCCUUGCAGGUCCCUUUCCCUCCCAGGAGGAUUCUAUCAGACUAACAGCAAAUGUGACAGAGGCAGAUGCCAGAGUUCAGGCACUGAAGAGUGAAGUCAUGGGGAGGGAACAGAUGAACCUGUAUGAAUCUGAGGGGAAACGGGGAUUUGUUCUUUGAGCUGAGGGUGGGAGGCUUGACUGCUGGAAGGAGAGGCACAUGUGGCUGGAACUUUCUGGAGGAGGUUUAAAACACCCUGUUUGUGGCCAGAUUAUAGUAUCUGGUUGAACUAACUGUCCCCAGCAGAGCCUUGAUGUUCUUCCUCUCACUGUCUGUAUUUCUCCCAGAAUACUUAUGCAACUGUCGUUUCUAUCUGUCCCCUCACUUUCGUUCAGUGCUUUAACAUGGAAAAAGCAAGACUUCAAUGUCUACCAUAGUUCCUAUUCAUUUUCCUAUGGAAGAGGAAGGAAUGAGCCUUUUCACCUAAGAUUAGUGCUUGUUCCAGACUUGAUACACUUCUGUGAUCCUAGAAAUCAAAUGGAUACACUGCUGAUUCACAAGUACUCAUUUAACCUUUAUUCACCAUACAUGCUAGUUUAAGGCAGCAUUAAUGAUUAACCAUGCUUCCCCUCUUACAGACAGUACUUUCUAGUAGGGGGGAAGAAGGGAAAAAGUCAGGCAUGGUGAGCAAGAUCAUGCUAUAGAAAGAUGCAUAUGAGGGAAUGAGUUUUUAGUCUCUUUUAUGACACAAAAACAUUCCUCACUGCAAACCAG
RNAcentral lists this long non-coding RNA (1651 nucleotides) under Gallus gallus (chicken). The record is from RNAcentral. Lineage: Eukaryota; Metazoa; Chordata; Aves; Galliformes; Phasianidae.